This is an RNA transcript of Puntigrus tetrazona (Sumatra barb), 1891 nucleotides long. It is a transcript of the gene named polyubiquitin 9-like, with no coding region annotated. The transcript is spliced from 4 exons. The record is from RefSeq and is a predicted model, not a curated record. NCBI's taxonomy places the organism in Eukaryota, Metazoa, Chordata, Actinopteri, Cypriniformes, Cyprinidae.
UCUCGGGCGAAUAGUGAAAGUAAAACUAAACAGCAGCGUGUUGUUUAUUUUGAAUAAUAACAAUAAUAAUAAUAAUCUUCUAUUCUGAAUUUGAUCAGCAGGUUAAAAAUGAGCUGCUGCAUUUUUGUUAAAGGGUGGGAUGGAAAAGAAAGAACAGUGUGUGUGGAUUCAGAAGAAGAACUGAAGAACAUGACUGUCGGAGAGUUUAAAAGAAGGGCCUAUCCUGAAUUUGAAUUGAACCUGAGACUGAUCUUCGAUGGCAAACAGCUGGAGGACGAACAUACACUUGGUUUUUAUGGAAUAAAGGAUCGUUCGAUACUUCAUGCAUUAAAGCAUCUGUGUGGAGGAGGCCCGAGCUGUGCAGAAGAAGAUGAUGGAGAUGAAGCAAUGUCCAGGACUAGAUCAAUAGAGAGAUUAGCUGAAAUGCAGAAGCCCAGCCAGAACGGAUCAUGCAGCGUGUUGUGAUACUCUCGGGGUGGUGUUACUCCAAGCCAGCAGAGGGAGCCCUAACCUCUGGAUGAACUGUGAGCGCUUCCUCUGCUGCUACUUCCUCUUCCUGUUUCCUGGGAACUAUAUAUUCUGAAGCGGGUCCCUCACCUGCAUGUAGCAUUGUUGUAGUUAGCCUAGCCUUGUUUAUUCAUACUUUCCUUGUGGCUGUAUUCCUAUUGAUCUAUUGUUAGCUUGAGACUAUAUUAUUUGGAUCAUUCUUUGUUUGGGACGUUUAGGUUUACAAUCAGUGUUUGGUGCCUGUACAUCAGUAUCAUAUCAAUCAUUUCCUUUGCAUUUCCACAAGGAAACAUGUAUGUGUGUUCAUGUACAUUUAUUAAAUGCAUUGCAUGUUGAUCUUCAUAAUCUGUUAGUGUGUGGAUAAGAUCCCUAAAGUUGCAAGGACUUAAUUUUAAGAUAUUCUUUGUGAAAGAUUGCUUGUCCACACCCCCCUAAAAAGACUAGUUUAAACACGUCUCUACGUCACAGAGUGGUUUAUUUGCAUAACUCCGCCCACAUGUUUACUCAAAGAAAUAAGGCGGAGCUAUCAUUCUGUGUGUAGUGUUGCUGCGGGCGCCAUGUUCUGGAGACGCUGGGUUUCGUUGAAACUGAAACUACUUUGUGUUUCUAAAAGAGGACAGGACUAGAAAUCAGUGUUAAGUUGUGUUUUCUACACCGUUCAGAACAGUGUAUUUAAUACCAAACUGUUCACUCUCUUCAUUAUACAUCCCUAUCGUUGUAUUCUUCUACUUUAUUCUGUUCAGUGCUUUGAUAAAAACCUGUGUUGUUAAAAGCACUAUAGAAAUAAAAAUGAUUGAUUGAUUGAUGUGUCCCUAACACCCAUCUACAAAUAGCUUAUCUGAGAGAUUUGUGCAAAGCUUGAAGAAUGAACUGUGAGCCACGGGACAUGAAAAGCUCACAGUAAACCAGAAGCUUCACGAUUUCUUGUUGGCAUACAGAUACAAAUCGAACACCUGCCAUGUUGUUCCUUGCGAGACCCUUACGUUCAAGGCUGGACUUGGACGUUGGAGUGUAGGAAUCACAAAUGGACACCUGCAAAGGUCAAAGAAAGUUGAGAUUGCAGCUGAUAUCACCUGGAGGCACACUGAUCCGUUGAGAAGAUCAAAUGUUCCUCUGGAAAGUGAUCCGGUGAUUGUUCGUUCUCCACUACUGAUGCUGUUAUCAGUGGAAGUGAUCCCGGUGAUCCUCCCGGUGUACUGUACUUCCUGCUGGAGGACCUGUGAAGAGAAACCUGGACGGAAACCACCAAACCAACUCGAUUUAUGAAAAAAAAAUAACAGUUUUAUAAAACAAAUAAAAGUGAAACUGUUGUUUCCUGGGCCAUGGGGGAUGAAAUGUAGUGUGCUGAGUUUAAUACUCCUAAACUAAACUCAAGACUCUUUUA